Colossoma macropomum (tambaqui) is the source of this 2219-nucleotide long non-coding RNA. RefSeq lists it as uncharacterized. The transcript is spliced from 4 exons. The record is from RefSeq and is a predicted model, not a curated record. NCBI's taxonomy places the organism in Eukaryota, Metazoa, Chordata, Actinopteri, Characiformes, Serrasalmidae.
UCUGUUGAACAGGAACAUGCCUUGACUUGUACCGGCUUGUCUGAAGGGAGCUCUGGCGUGUGGUCAACAGCAGCAGCUGUGUGCAUUUCACUCAGCACUGACCCGGCGAGAGGACAACAACAGCUCAAACCUUCUGCUUUCUGGGAAUACUGGACAAACACAGGUAUCUCAGUAUAUCUGCGCUGACCGGACUGACGGCCUUCCAGCCCUCAGACGAGCUUGUUUACCGGAGGACUUCCCUUCACUGGAAAGCCCCUCAACUUCACCCACAGUUCAGAUCGUCAUUAGAGCACACAAAGAAGGUUCAGCCUGUUCACAGAGAGACAGAGAGACCACAGGCACAGCAGUGGCUUCAGCAGAUGUCCUUGUCAGGAGUAGAAGGCCAGCGCAGACACAGAGGACGAGCGUUCAUCACCAUCAUCAAGAAAGUGGAAGCAGAAUCAAAAUUAGUGAAGGGAAUCUAUGCAUUUGUGUCAGCAACUUCCAGAGAAAGAUGAGUGGACUCUUGGAGGGGCAGCUCAGAAAGGAAAAAUCCUGAGCUUUCUGGCGCAGGAGCUUCCAAGAAGUAGGACAUGAAUAUGCAAAAUGAGUCCUCGAGAGAAGGCUCUCUCAGGGCGAGCGAAUGGAGGAUACAGAGGAGGAAGAGGAGAGAGAGCGAGCGAGGGAAGAGGAGAGAAGAGGAGGGAGAGGAGCAGCGGGGGAAGCUGGCUGCUGUGAGUGUUUCUCUGGCAGUGUCUUAGCUGGUUGUUGUGAGGAGUGAGAACGAAGCAAUCAGCAAGUAUACUGCCGCAGAAACUCGUCACCAUACGAGGCCCAUCCAUCCAGCGCUGAGAACCCCCCACACACAGUCAGCGGAAAAGCUCCAGCCUCUUCCAUCAGCCCUCCCUUCAUUCAGCACGGCGCGUGAGAGACGCUGCUCUGACUUUAGAACCAUUCGGUUUAGUUAUGAUUCUUUGGGGAAUUUAUAUGAUAAAUCAUUUUGUUCAGAUUAUUUUGGUAGAAUUUAGAAUUAUGAAAUAAUAAAAGUACACUACAAUAACUGUAACUGAAGGCUCCAUUUAUAAUAUAAUAUAAUAUAAUAUAAUAUAUAUGUAUGUACAAUAUAGUAUUUGUAUCUGUCCACAUAUCAUAUAAAUAUAUAGUUAAACAUAUAAAAACUCUUAUUUUGAGAGAUGUUUAUGCAACUGAACCUUCAUCUGUACAUCAACCUUGAGUGACUAUUAAUUAUUUUUUUUUCUUUUAUAUUUGAAAAUGAAAUGUUAUUUGGGCCACAAAAAAAUGAGUAUGUAAAAUGAGGGCUUACUGAACAUUAUUAUAAUCUGAGCCAGGGUUGCCCAAACUUUUUGUCUUAGGCUGGGCUGACGACCAAAGAGACAACUGUGUAUAUAAAUAAAGAAGGGUAGUUUAUUUAAAAUUUUAUUUUGAAAUAUUACACUAUAUUUUGUAAGUAAAAUACUUCAAAAAUAAAUUUUAAAGGAAAGUAAGAACAUAAUAUAUUUCAUAUAGGAUUAAAAUAUGUUCUCUCUCACUGGAUGAGGGGCUAGGAGUAAGAUCAAUUUCUGUCAGGCCUCACGGGUCACAUUUGGCACUCGGGAAGCUCUAAUCUAUAACAUAUUAUAGUACUGAACGACCCCUUUUUUAUACAAGCAUUUGAAUACCCUCUAUUAAUAUCUAUCUCAGUGCAUCACAGGGAUUCUUGUGUAUUAAUACUGUGACAAACAAUAAAGUUGACAAAAAGUAUCAUUAUAAUCAGGUAAAAUCAACUGAGUUAUAAUUGAUUAUAACUGAAAUUGGUGCACCUUCAGAUCAGUGUCUCACUGAUGACUCUACUGUUCACUCACAGCCUCAUCACCAAGUACAUAACAGCAAAUUAAUUUCAUAAAUCCUCUGCAUUAAAGCUUUUCUGACUAGACACGCUUCAUGUGUUUCUCAGUUCCUUUGUUGUUCUGGCGAUUCCUGUCCCAGCGCUGCUGUACUCUGUAAUGUACAGUACUGUACAGAAAUCGGAGACCACCCUUCGUUUAUUUCAUUUCCAGUUUCAAGCAUUUACUGGAAGCCUCAACAACUAAAUAUAACAUCAUUUUUUCAGUAUGUAGUGUGUCCACCCUUCACCUUUCUUACAGCUCUCAGUCUAUUCAGGAAACUUGCUCUCAGUUUUUCAAAGAAAUCUGCAGGUAUUUUUUCCAAAGUUCAUUCUUAGAAGUUGGUUUAGCAUCAGU